AGAGUUUGAUCCUGGCUCAGGACGAACGCUGGCGGCGUGCUUAAAACAUGCAAGUCGAACGAAUUUAGAGGUUGGAGAUUAGAGGUUAGAGGUUGGAGUCCGGGAAGGGCUUUGCAGCCGGAACCGGCCGAUCCGACGUCUGACUUCCAAUCUCCAACUUCUAAGUUAGUGGCGGACGGGUGAGUAACGCGUGGGCAACCUGCCCUCGAGUCCGGGAUAACAGUUCGAAAGGACUGCUAACACCGGAUAUGCUCACGGGGGAGCAUUCCCCUGGGAGGAAAAGCAAUGCUCGAGGAUGGGCCCGCGUCCCAUUAGCUAGUUGGUGAGGUAACGGCUCACCAAGGCGACGAUGGGUAGCCGGCCUGAGAGGGUGACCGGCCACACUGGGACUGAGACACGGCCCAGACUCCUACGGGAGGCAGCAGUUGGGAAUCUUCGGCAAUGGGCGCAAGCCUGACCGAGCAACGCCGCGUGAGUGAUGAAGGUCUUCGGAUUGUAAAGCUCUGUCUUCCGGGACGAUAAUGACGGUACCGGAGGAGGAAGCCACGGCUAACUACGUGCCAGCAGCCGCGGUAAUACGUAGGUGGCGAGCGUUGUCCGGAAUUACUGGGCGUAAAGGGCGCGCAGGCGGCCUGUCAAGUCAGAUGUGAAAUCCCCGGGCUUAACCCGGGAAUGGCAUUUGAAACUGGCGGGCUUGAGGGCAGGAGAGGAAAGCGGAACUCCCAGUGUAGCGGUGAAAUGCGUAGAUAUUGGGAGGAACACCAGUGGCGAAGGCGGCUUUCUGGACUGUACCUGACGCUGAGGCGCGAAAGCCAGGGGAGCGAACGGGAUUAGAUACCCCGGUAGUCCUGGCUGUAAACGAUGGGUACUAGGUGUGGGAGGUAUCGACCCCUCCAGUGCCGCAGCUAACGCAAUAAGUACCCCGCCUGGGGAGUACGGCCGCAAGGUUGAAACUCAAAUGAAUUGACGG
This 970-nucleotide ribosomal RNA is filed under the name uncultured bacterium. Its description in RNAcentral is "bacterial SSU rRNA". It matches the Rfam family "Bacterial small subunit ribosomal RNA", at positions 8 to 916 of the family's 1533-position model. The record is from RNAcentral.